RNAcentral lists this ribosomal RNA (497 nucleotides) under uncultured bacterium. RNAcentral describes it as "partial 16S ribosomal RNA". It matches the Rfam family "Bacterial small subunit ribosomal RNA", at positions 28 to 507 of the family's 1533-position model. The record is from RNAcentral.
GAUGAACGCUGGCGGCGUGCCUAAUACAUGCAAGUCGAGCGAACAGACGGGGAGCUUGCUCCUCUGACGUUAGCGGCGGACGGGUGAGUAACACGUGGAUAACCUACCUAUAAGACUGGGAUAACUUCGGGAAACCGGAGCUAAUACCGGAUAAUAUAUUGAACCGCAUGGUUCAAUAGUGAAAGACGGUUUUGCUGUCACUUAUAGAUGGAUCCGCGCCGCAUUAGCUAGUUGGUAAGGUAACGGCUUACCAAGGCAACGAUGCGUAGCCGACCUGAGAGGGUGAUCGGCCACUCUGGAACUGAGACACGGUCCAGACUCCUACGGGAGGCAGCAGUAGGGAAUCUUCCGCAAUGGGCGAAAGCCUGACGGAGCAACGCCGCGUGAGUGAUGAAGGUCUUCGGAUCGUAAAACUCUGUUAUUAGGGAAGAACAAAUGUGUAAGUAACUAUGCACGUCUUGACGGUACCUAAUCAGAAAGCCACGGCUAACUACGUG